RNAcentral lists this ribosomal RNA (699 nucleotides) under uncultured bacterium. Its description in RNAcentral is "bacterial SSU rRNA". It matches the Rfam family "Bacterial small subunit ribosomal RNA", at positions 632 to 1332 of the family's 1533-position model. The record is from RNAcentral.
ACUGGAUAUCUAGAGUGCAGGAGAGGAAAGCGGAAUUCCUAGUGUAGCGGUGAAAUGCGUAGAUAUUAGGAAGAACACCAGUGGCGAAGGCGGCUUUCUGGACUGUACCUGACGCUGAGGCACGAAAGCGUGGGGAGCAAACAGGAUUAGAUACCCUGGUAGUCCACGCUGUAAACGAUGAGUGCUAGGUGUGGGGGGUUUCGACACCCUCCGUGCCGCAGUAAACGCAAUAAGCACUCCGCCUGGGGAGUACGGUCGCAAGACUAAAACUCAAAGGAAUUGACCGGGGGCCCGCACAAGCAGCGGAGCAUGUGGUUUAAUUCGAAGCAACGCGAAGAACCUUACCAGGAUUUGACAUCGCCUGAAUAGCUUAGAGAUCGGUGAAGCUUUUCGGAGCAGGCAGACAGGUGGUGCAUGGUUGUCGUCAGCUCGUGUCGUGAGAUGUUGGGUUAAGUCCCGCAACGAGCGCAACCCUUGUUGUUAGUUGCUAACAUUUAGUUGAGCACUCUAAUGAGACUGCCGGGGAUAACUCGGAGGAAGGUGGGGAUGACGUCAAAUCAUCAUGCCCCUUAUGUCCUGGGCAACACACGUGCUACAAUGGCUAAUACAAAGUGACGCAAAGCCGUAAGGUGGAGCAAAUCACCAAAAAUAGUCCCAGUUCGGAUUGAGGGCUGAAACUCGCCCUCAUGAAGCUGGAGU